RNAcentral lists this ribosomal RNA (892 nucleotides) under uncultured bacterium. Its description in RNAcentral is "bacterial SSU rRNA". It matches the Rfam family "Bacterial small subunit ribosomal RNA", at positions 505 to 1397 of the family's 1533-position model. The record is from RNAcentral.
GUGCCAGCAGCCGCGGUAAUACGUAGGUGGCAAGCGUUGUCCGGAUUUAUUGGGCGUAAAGCGAGCGCAGGCGGUUUUUUAAGUCUGAUGUGAAAGCCUUCGGCUCAACCGAAGAAGUGCAUCGGAAACUGGGAAACUUGAGUGCAGAAGAGGACAGUGGAACUCCAUGUGUAGCGGUGAAAUGCGUAGAUAUAUGGAAGAACACCAGUGGCGAAGGCGGCUGUCUGGUCUGUAACUGACGCUGAGGCUCGAAAGUAUGGGCAGCAAACAGGAUUAGAUACCCUGGUAGUCCAUACCGUAAACGAUGAAUGCUAAGUGUUGGAGGGUUUCCGCCCUUCAGUGCUGCAGCUAACGCAUUAAGCAUUCCGCCUGGGGAGUACGGCCGCAAGGCUGAAACUCAAAGGAAUUGACGGGGGCCCGCACAAGCGGUGGAGCAUGUGGUUUAAUUCGAGGCUACGCGAAGAACCUUACCAGGUCUUGACAUACUAUGCAAAUCUAAGAGAUUAGACGUUCCCUUCGGGGACAUGGAUACAGGUGGUGCAUGGUUGUCGUCAGCUCGUGUCGUGAGAUGUUGGGUUAAGUCCCGCAACGAGCGCAACCCUUAUUAUCAGUUGCCAGCAUUAAGUUGGGCACUCUGGUGAGACUGCCGGUGACAAACCGGANGAAGGUGGGGAUGACGUCAAAUCAUCAUGCCCCUUAUGACCUGGGCUACACACGUGCUACAAUGGAUGGUACAACGAGUUGCGAACUCGCGAGAGUAAGCUAAUCUCUUAAAGCCAUUCUCAGUUCGGAUUGUAGGCUGCAACUCGCCUACAUGAAGUCGGAAUCGCUAGUAAUCGCGGAUCAGCAUUCCACGGUGAAUACGUUCCCGGGCCUUGUACACACCGCCCGU